UACGUAGGUGGCAAGCGUUGUCCGGAUUUAUUGGGUUUAAAGGGUGCGUAGGCGGCUUUGUAAGUCAGUGGUGAAAUAUGGCAGCUCAACUGUCAAGGUGCCAUUGAUACUGCGGAGCUUGAGUACAGAUGAGGUAGGCGGAAUUGACGGUGUAGCGGUGAAAUGCUUAGAUGUCGUCAAGAACACCUAUAGCGAAGGCAGCUUACUAGGCUGUAACUGACGCUGAGGCACGAAAGUGUGGGGAUCAAACAGG
RNAcentral lists this ribosomal RNA (253 nucleotides) under uncultured bacterium. RNAcentral's name for it is "partial 16S ribosomal RNA". It matches the Rfam family "Bacterial small subunit ribosomal RNA", at positions 524 to 776 of the family's 1533-position model. The record is from RNAcentral.